UACGUAUGGUGCAAGCGUUAUCCGGAUUUACUGGGUGUAAAGGGAGCGUAGACGGAGUGGCAAGUCUGAUGUGAAAACCCGGGGCUCAACCCCGGGACUGCAUUGGAAACUGUCAAUCUAGAGUACCGGAGAGGUAAGCGGAAUUCCUAGUGUAGCGGUGAAAUGCGUAGAUAUUAGGAGGAACACCAGUGGCGAAGGCGGUUUACUGGACGGUAACUGACGUUGAGGCUCGAAAGCGUGGGGAGCAAACAGG
Molecule: ribosomal RNA, 253 nt
Filed under: Mediterraneibacter faecis JCM 15917
Lineage: Bacteria; Bacillati; Bacillota; Clostridia; Lachnospirales; Lachnospiraceae
Description: [Ruminococcus] faecis JCM 15917 partial 16S ribosomal RNA
Rfam family: Bacterial small subunit ribosomal RNA
Source: RNAcentral